This 453-nucleotide long non-coding RNA is filed under the name Homo sapiens (human). RNAcentral describes it as "HSALNT0313961". The record is from RNAcentral. Lineage: Eukaryota; Metazoa; Chordata; Mammalia; Primates; Hominidae.
GUUUCAAAUCACACCACCUAUGUUCUUCACUCUCCCAGAAAUCUUCCCUAUGGAACAGCUCUUUUCCUCACCGUAACAGGUAUUUAACUAGUUUAAUAUCAUUUAUAAUGCUCUAGCUUUUAACAGAAAAAUGAUAAAAAAAAAAAAAUCUGGGAUAAAAAAAUCCAAAUCUUCCUAACUCCACAUUCAGGGAAAUUAUUUGAGGAAGUGACCACAGAUGAAACUGUUUCCAGAUGUCUACAAAGGUUUUUGGGUUUUGUGGGGACUGAAGUACAGCAGGAAGCAGCAUAAGCAGACAGAAAGAAGCCUUAGUGUGAUUGAACGAACAUAGAGAAAGAAGAGCCAGGAACCACAGAGACAGCAAAGUAAUGGUCAGACACACAACCCUGGAGCCUGCCCAACUUGUGUACCUCUUAUUAUGUGAGAUAAUAAAAGUCUUCAUUGUGUAAAUCA